This 803-nucleotide ribosomal RNA is filed under the name Escherichia coli. RNAcentral describes it as "partial 23S ribosomal RNA". It matches the Rfam family "Bacterial large subunit ribosomal RNA", at positions 419 to 1223 of the family's 2925-position model. The record is from RNAcentral. Lineage: Bacteria; Pseudomonadati; Pseudomonadota; Gammaproteobacteria; Enterobacterales; Enterobacteriaceae.
GGGACACGUGGUAUCCUGUCUGAAUAUGGGGGGACCAUCCUCCAAGGCUAAAUACUCCUGACUGACCGAUAGUGAACCAGUACCGUGAGGGAAAGGCGAAAAGAACCCCGGCGAGGGGAGUGAAAAAGAACCUGAAACCGUGUACGUACAAGCAGUGGGAGCCUCUUUUAUGGGGUGACUGCGUACCUUUUGUAUAAUGGGUCAGCGACUUAUAUUCUGUAGCAAGGUUAACCGAAUAGGGGAGCCGAAGGGAAACCGAGUCUUAACUGGGCGUUAAGUUGCAGGGUAUAGACCCGAAACCCGGUGAUCUAGCCAUGGGCAGGUUGAAGGUUGGGUAACACUAACUGGAGGACCGAACCGACUAAUGUUGAAAAAUUAGCGGAUGACUUGUGGCUGGGGGUGAAAGGCCAAUCAAACCGGGAGAUAGCUGGUUCUCCCCGAAAGCUAUUUAGGUAGCGCCUCGUGAAUUCAUCUCCGGGGGUAGAGCACUGUUUCGGCAAGGGGGUCAUCCCGACUUACCAACCCGAUGCAAACUGCGAAUACCGGAGAAUGUUAUCACGGGAGACACACGGCGGGUGCUAACGUCCGUCGUGAAGAGGGAAACAACCCAGACCGCCAGCUAAGGUCCCAAAGUCAUGGUUAAGUGGGAAACGAUGUGGGAAGGCCCAGACAGCCAGGAUGUUGGCUUAGAAGCAGCCAUCAUUUAAAGAAAGCGUAAUAGCUCACUGGUCGAGUCGGCCUGCGCGGAAGAUGUAACGGGGCUAAACCAUGCACCGAAGCUGCGGCAGCGACACUAUGUGUUG